UGUAAGCGUAUACCAAAGUUGUUGCAGUUAAAACGCUCGUAGUCGGAAUUUGGCAGUUCCGGAUGUGUGCACGUCGUGUGCGCACUUCGCGGGGAUUGCUUUUGUGGUCUUGCGUAGGAUGAGGCACUUUUAUUAGUGAACGUCCUCACGCAACCACUUUUUACUGUGAGAAAAUCAGAUUGCUCAAAGCAGGCAUUUGCCGUGAAUGUAUUAGCAUGGAAUAAUAGAAUAGGACUUGGUUCUAUUUUGUUGGUUUGUUGGGACUGAGUAAUGAUUAAGAGGGACAGUUGGGGGCAUUUGUAUUUCGGUGCUAGAGGUGAAAUUCUUAGAUUACCGAAAGACAAACUGCUGCGAAAGCGUCUGCCAAGGAUGUUUUCAUUGA
This 382-nucleotide ribosomal RNA is filed under the name uncultured eukaryote. RNAcentral's name for it is "partial 18S ribosomal RNA". It matches the Rfam family "Eukaryotic small subunit ribosomal RNA", at positions 592 to 976 of the family's 1831-position model. The record is from RNAcentral.